AUCUUCUUCCAGUUCAUAAGCAUGAUGAGUGGGUUCUCACACGCUUGGAUGACACGUGCCUCCCUCAAACCUUGUUGCCACAUGGGCAUAUUACCCAUCUGAUG
Non-coding RNA from Dipodomys ordii (Ord's kangaroo rat), 104 nucleotides. The record is from Rfam. NCBI's taxonomy places the organism in Eukaryota, Metazoa, Chordata, Mammalia, Rodentia, Heteromyidae.